GACGAACGCUGGCGGCGUGCUUAACACAUGCAAGUCGAACGGAAAGGCCCUGCUUGCAGGGUACUCGAGUGGCGAACGGGUGAGUAACACGUGGGUGAUCUGCCCUGCACUUCGGGAUAAGCCUGGGAAACUGGGUCUAAUACCGGAUAGGAGCCAUUUUUAGUGUGAUGGUUGGAAAGUUUUUUCGGUGUAGGAUGAGCUCGCGGCCUAUCAGCUUGUUGGUGGGGUAAUGGCCUACCAAGGCGGCGACGGGUAGCCGGCCUGAGAGGGUGGACGGCCACAUUGGGACUGAGAUACGGCCCAGACUCCUACGGGAGGCAGCAGGGGGGAAUAUUGCACAAUGGGCGCAAGCCUGAUGCAGCGACGCCGCGUGGGGGAUGACGGCCUUCGGGUUGUAAACUCCUUUCGCUAGGGACGAAGCUUUUUGUGACGGUACCUAGAGAAAAAGCACCGGCUAACUACGUG
This 465-nucleotide ribosomal RNA is filed under the name uncultured bacterium. Its description in RNAcentral is "partial 16S ribosomal RNA". It matches the Rfam family "Bacterial small subunit ribosomal RNA", at positions 28 to 507 of the family's 1533-position model. The record is from RNAcentral.